Molecule: unclassified non-coding RNA, 878 nt
Filed under: Hevea brasiliensis (rubber tree)
Lineage: Eukaryota; Viridiplantae; Streptophyta; Magnoliopsida; Malpighiales; Euphorbiaceae
Source: RNAcentral
GUCUGAGUAGUAAAAUCUUCCGCAUUUCUUUUGUGUGGCAACAGAACUAUCAGCGGACACUGCAACCAUGGUGAAGUAUUCUAGGGAACCAGACAACCCCACCAAAUCAUGCAAAGCUCGGGGCUCUGAUCUUCGAGUCCACUUUAAGAAUACAAGAGAGACUGCUCAUGCAAUUCGGAAGUUGCAUUUAGCCAAGGCUAAAAGGUACUUGGAGGAUGUUAUGGCACACAAGCAAGCUAUCCCAUUCCGUCGUUUCUGUGGUGGUGUUGGGCGAACUGCACAGGCAAAAAAUCGUCAUUCAAAUGGACAAGGGCGCUGGCCUGUUAAAUCUGCAAAAUUUAUCCUUGAUUUGCUCAAGAAUGCAGAAAGUAAUGCAGAGGUGAAAGGUUUAGAUGUUGAUUCACUCUACAUAUCUCACAUCCAAGUCAAUCAAGCACAGAAACAACGUCGCCGCACUUAUAGAGCCCAUGGAAGGAUAAAUCCUUAUAUGUCCUCGCCAUGCCACAUCGAGUUGAUUUUGUCAGAAAAGGAAGAACCUGUUAAGAAAGAGCCUGAGACUCAUCUGGCUCCUGGGAAACCGAAGGCUCAAGCCCUACGCGGUGGACCUUCCUCCUGAAGGCAAGCGGUAAACUGGUCCUGAAAAUUGGCACCAUGCAAACAUUUUUGCCUUUCUUAUCUUGUGAAACAGUCACACUCUUGAGUUUGUUUUCUGAGAUGUUUCUCCUAGAUCAUAUACCUAUUUAGAAUGUACUGUACUAUAAACUGAACCCCCGCUUUGCAACUGGGGUGCAAAGAUUGGAGCACUGAAAUCUUUCUAUGGAAUUUUGUUAUUUGUUGGAGAUAGUCUGAAAAGUAUAAGAAUAUUUUAGGCAAAAAUG